Molecule: long non-coding RNA, 695 nt
Organism: Corapipo altera (White-ruffed manakin)
Lineage: Eukaryota; Metazoa; Chordata; Aves; Passeriformes; Pipridae
Exons: 4
Source: RefSeq, a predicted model, not a curated record
GGGGACAAAAACAGCCCCAAAAUGGGACAAUGACACCCCCAAAAUGGGGGCAAUGACACCCCUAAAAUGGGGACAGUGACACCCCUAAAAUGGGGACAGUGACACCCCCAGAAUGGGACAAUGACACCCCCGAAAUGGGGACAAAAACACCCCCGAAAUGGGACAGUGACACCCCUGAAAUGGGGACAGGGACAAGGGGCUCCGGUGGCUCCGGGGUGUGGCCCUGCUCGGGGACACGGAGGUGACACGGAUGUGACACGGAUGUGACAGUGACACAGAGCUGGGACUGUCACACGUGUGUGACACGGAUGUGACGGUGACACGGAGCUGGGACAGUGACACGGAUGUCACACGGAUGUGACACGGAUGUGACAGUGGCACGGAGCUGGGACAGUGACACGGAUGUCACACGGAUGUGACACAGAUGUGACAGUGACAUGGAGCUGGGAGAGUGACACGGGUGUGACACGGAUGUCACACGGAGCUGGGACAGUGACACGGAUGUCACACAGUUACACGGAGCUGGGACAGUGACACGGGUGUCACAUGGAUGUCACACGGAUGUGACGGUGACACGGAGCUGGGACAGUGACAGAUGUGACACAUGUGACAGUGACAUGGAGCUGGGAGAGUGACACGGGUGUGACACGGAUGUCACACGGAGCUGGGACAGUGACACGGAUGUCACGGUGACA